GGCUCAGGAUGAACGCUAGCGACAGGCUUAACACAUGCAAGUCGAGGGGCAGCAUAAAGUAGCAAUACUUGGUGGCGACCGGCGCACGGGUGAGUAACGCGUAUGCAACCUACCUAUCAGAGGGGAAUAACCCGGCGAAAGUCGGACUAAUACCGCAUAAAACAGGGACACCGCAUGGUGAUAUUUGUUAAAGAAAUUCGCUGAUAGAUGGGCAUGCGUUCCAUUAGGUAGUUGGUGAGGUAACGGCUCACCAAGCCGACGAUGGAUAGGGGAACUGAGAGGUUGGUCCCCCACACUGGUACUGAGACACGGACCAGACUCCUACGGGAGGCAGCAGUGAGGAAUAUUGGUCAAUGGGCGAGAGCCUGAACCAGCCAAGUCGCGUGAAAGGAAGAAGGAUCUAUGGUUCGUAAACUUCUUUUGCAGGGGAAUAAAGUGCAGGACGUGUCCUGUUUUGUAUGUACCCUGAGAAUAAGGAUCGGCUAACUCCGUGCCAGCCGCAGC
Molecule: ribosomal RNA, 504 nt
Filed under: uncultured bacterium
Lineage: Bacteria
Description: bacterial SSU rRNA
Rfam family: Bacterial small subunit ribosomal RNA
Source: RNAcentral